AAAUGUCACAAAAUUCACUUCUUUGCUCGUACUCACAGAGGCCCUGGUCUAGAAUGUUCCACAUCUGCUCUCACUCUGCCAUGGGCUCCUGGAGCCUCUGCUGUGUGUCCCUUUGUAUCCUAGUAGCAAAGCACACCGAUGCUGGAGUUAUCCAGUCACCCCAGCACAAGGUGACAGAGAUGGGACAAGAAGCGACUCUGAGAUGUGAACCAAUUUCAGGUCACACCCAGCUUUUCUGGUACAGACAGACCAUGAUGCAGGGACUGGAGUUGCUAAUUUACUUUAACAACAAGGAUCCGAUAGAUGAUUCAGGGAUGCCCAAGGAUCGAUUCUCAGCUCAGAUGCCUAAUGCAUCAUUCUCCACUCUGAAGAUCCAGCCCUCAGAACCCAGGGACUCGGCUGUGUACUUCUGUGCCAGCAGUUUUGGGGACUCUAAACUCCUGCCUCCCAACCCAGGAAUCAGAGCCUGAGACAGACAGAUGCUU
This is a non-coding RNA of Sapajus apella (tufted capuchin), 485 nucleotides long. Lineage: Eukaryota; Metazoa; Chordata; Mammalia; Primates; Cebidae. The record is from the annotation of a RefSeq genome assembly.